RNAcentral lists this ribosomal RNA (641 nucleotides) under Porina alba. RNAcentral's name for it is "SSU rRNA". It matches the Rfam family "Bacterial small subunit ribosomal RNA", at positions 434 to 1130 of the family's 1533-position model. The record is from RNAcentral. Lineage: Eukaryota; Fungi; Ascomycota; Lecanoromycetes; Ostropales; Porinaceae.
GUUACAUUAAGUUCUAGGUAAAUUUUUGAUUAUGACAUAAUUUAUCUAUAAGUCUUGACCAAAUCAUGUGCCAGCAGUCGCGGUAAGACAUGGAAGACAAGUGUUAUUCAUGAUUAGUGGGUUUAAAGGGUACUCAGACAGUUAAUUAAGCCUAUAUAUAAUACAGGAACUAAUUAUACUAGAGUUUUAUAGGAGAAGGAUAGAACGGUGAGUGGAGAGAUGAAAUAUGUUGAUACCACCUAGAUACUGGCAACAGUGAAGACAACCUUUUAUGUAAUAACUGACGUUAAAGGACGAAGGCUCAAGAGAAAGCAACAGGAUUAGAUACCCCAGUACUGUGGGCAGACAAUGAUGAGUGUCAUAGGUAAGUUAUUUAAUUUAACAAACAAAUUAUAAGUUUACGUAUAAAUGAAAGUGCAAGCACUCCACCUUAAGAGUAACAUGGCAACAUCGGAACUGAAAUCAUUAGACCGUUUCUGAAACCAGUAGUGAAGUAUGUUGUUUAAUUUGAUGAUCCACAAAGAACCUUACCACAAUUUGAAUUAUUCACAGGAGUUGCACGGCUGUCUUCAGUUGAUAUCGUGAGAUUUUGGUUAGAUCCAUCCAUCAACGUAAACCCUUACUUUAUUUUUUUUAUAAAG